Maniola jurtina (meadow brown) is the source of this 171-nucleotide long non-coding RNA. RefSeq lists it as uncharacterized. The record is from RefSeq and is a predicted model, not a curated record. Lineage: Eukaryota; Metazoa; Arthropoda; Insecta; Lepidoptera; Nymphalidae. The transcript has 3 exons.
GAAUUUAUUUGUAGUAGGCAAUGAUAUUAGAAGAAAAAAGAGGUAGAUAGGUUACUUAUAUCAAAUUCGAUGUUUACAAAUGGCACGCUGCGUCAACGCCGAAAGACUCAUAUACACAUAAACGCAUAGAUAGUAUUUUAACGUCACACAACAGAGAGUAUAAAGGACGGU